AUUACAUAGGCUUUACCUUCUCCUUCAGCUUGGCAGUGAUUCUCUUUUGUUUUUCUUCCUCCUCUUUUUCCCUCAGCUGUUUCUCAUGGAGCUUUGCUCCCACCUUGUGAAUGUCCUACAGAAAGAUAAAUCAGCUCAUGAUGCCAUUCCUCAUGUUGCUCAAUCUCCUCAAGUGUUUUACCAGGCAGGUAAAGCUUGGCUUCCUUCCUGUAAGCUGGCUGCCCACUGUACUUUGUCCAGAUCUGUGGAUCAACAAACAUCAGAGUUUGAUGGUCGUACUGGUCCCAUCCACCACAGGCUCCACCUGACUUCUGUAGGAAACACUCCAGUGGUCUGACGUCUGCAGGAAGGUUACUGUCUAGAAGUUUGGUCUAAUGGAAAACAAAGCUCACCUGCCUUCAAUCAACUCAUCACUCUGACUGCAUAAAAAUCCUGGCCUUUCUCCCACUCCUUGUCAGAUCAUUUGUUCAGCCACCGUGGUAGUUAACGUCCUGAUCGACUUCAACUAUUGUUCUUUGUGCUUCCCGUUGAUUUAUGGAAUGAUCUUUAAUCACUGAUCCUCUUGUGCUCAGGUCCACCUCCUGCUACCUGCUUGCCUGCUCUCCACCAGCCAUCUCCGGACAGCCUACACUCUGUGCCUCCUCUACUGCUUUACCUCAGCCAUUUCCUCCAUCUCAUUAUCGGACCCUCUCCUUCCCCUUUUUCUCCCACAGCAAAAUAAAUCCUUAUUUCUCACCUACCGUUGUCUGAGCCUGCAUUUUGGGUCAUUACCGGUGUAAAUCAUGACAAACAUACUGGAUCACAACAUUAGUAUUAACAGUAUUUUCACCAUCUUAAGAUGGUGUUGGUUGGAAGGGUACUGAGUAAAAUACAUAAUAAAAAUAAGUCAUGAAGUAAAUCUAUUCUAUUCUACUCCAUUCACACUGU
Long non-coding RNA from Cynoglossus semilaevis (tongue sole), 927 nucleotides. RefSeq lists it as uncharacterized. The transcript is spliced from 4 exons. NCBI's taxonomy places the organism in Eukaryota, Metazoa, Chordata, Actinopteri, Pleuronectiformes, Cynoglossidae. The record is from RefSeq and is a predicted model, not a curated record.